RNAcentral lists this ribosomal RNA (405 nucleotides) under uncultured prokaryote. Its description in RNAcentral is "bacterial SSU rRNA". It matches the Rfam family "Bacterial small subunit ribosomal RNA", at positions 355 to 776 of the family's 1533-position model. RNAcentral also lists the same sequence under 1 other name. The record is from RNAcentral.
UGGGGAAUAUUGCACAAUGGAGGAAACUCUGAUGCAGCAACGCCGCGUGAAGGAUGAAGGUCUUCGGAUUGUAAACUUCUUUGAUUGGGGACGAAUAAUGACGGUACCCAAGGAACAAGCCACGGCUAACUACGUGCCAGCAGCCGCGGUAAUACGUAGGUGGCGAGCGUUGUCCGGAAUUACUGGGUGUAAAGGGCGUGUAGGCGGGACUGUAAGUCAGAUGUGAAAUCCCGGGGCUUAACCCCGGAGCUGCAUCUGAAACUAUGGUUCUUGAGUGCUGGAGAGGAAAGCGGAAUUCCUAGUGUAGCGGUGAAAUGCGUAGAUAUUAGGAGGAACACCAGUGGCGAAGGCGGCUUUCUGGACAGUAACUGACGCUGAGGCGCGAAAGCGUGGGGAGCAAACAGG